Molecule: RNA transcript, 4732 nt
Organism: Symphalangus syndactylus (siamang)
Lineage: Eukaryota; Metazoa; Chordata; Mammalia; Primates; Hylobatidae
Gene: SPATA1
Gene name: spermatogenesis associated 1
Source: RefSeq, a predicted model, not a curated record
CUAGGCCCGGAGCGCGAGCCUGGAGGAGGCGGAAGAGAAGGGGCGGAGCAGUCGGUGGACGCGGCGGCUGCGGGAGGCUAGCGCGACCCGACUGUUAAGUUCUCCUUUCCUCUCCAGAGGGGCCGAUAAGGGAGAGAGACCAGAAAUGAGUGGAAUGCCACCUUAAGCCAAAAAAAACUAUUAUAAUUUUUAUUUAGUACUACUUAAAUGAAGAAAGAUAAAAAAAGAAACAAAAUUCCAGCUGAUAAUAUGUCACUCAAUCCAAGUCGACCUUCCUCAUCAGAGUUGGUGGAACUUCAUGUUUUUUAUGUCCCUGAAGGAUCAUGGAACUAUAAGCUAAAUACCAUUUCAACAGAAGUUGUUAACAAAUUCAUUUCAGCUGGAUUUCUAAGAGUAUCUCCUCAACUUACUUUACGAGCCCUGAGGGAGCAUCUUGGUGAGUUCCUGGGUGAAGAUGCUAUUGCAGAAAAAUUUUUAUUUCUGAAAUGCAUUGGAAAUAAUUUAGCUGUGGUGAAGGAAAAGCAAGAAUCAGAACUGAAACUCAAAUCAUUUGCUCCUCCAUAUGCUCUUCAACCAGAAUUAUAUUUGCUUCCUGUAAUAGACCAUUUAGGAAAUGUUUAUUCACCAUCAUCAACAGUUAUUUUAGAUGAGCGGCAGACUAAUAAUGGUAUUAAUGAAGCUGAUGGAACAAUCCACAGACCAAUUAGUGUAACUUUGUUCAAGGAGGAACCUGGAAGAGAUCGCAGUUUGUUAGAAAACACUUUGAAAGAGCUUCCUAACAAGAAUCAGGAAGAAGCUGGGGGAAAAGCCACUGCAGAAAAAAGCCAAAUUGCAAAAAAUCAAAUUGGAAGUUCUGAGUUGCCAAGAUCAUUGGAAGAUUCAAAUGAUUGCUUUGGCACCAAAAAAAGUCAGUGUCUUUGGGAAAAUGAAGAUGAUACAGCUAUCAGUAGAAGACAGGACAAUCAGAUAGGUGAAAAAGAGUACAUCACCCUACCAGAUUACCCUUCACUUCCUUGUCAACCUGUUCUUUCUUCAGGAAUAACUGAUAUAUCUUUAUUACAAACCGAAAGAGAGAAGAUUAUCAAACAAAUGAAACAAGUAAAGGAAGAAAGAAGGUAUCUGGAAAGAAAUAGAGAAGAACUAGUAAAAACAGUUGAAAAGCUAUUUGAACAAAGCAAAUUAAAACAAUAUGCCUAUGAUGGUUGGAAGAAAAAAUACUUGGAAACAAAGAAAGUCACAGCAUCAAUGGAGGAGGUUUUAACAAAACUUCGAGAAGAUUUGGAACUCUGCUAUAAAAAACUGCUCAUGCAGCUUGAAGCCAGGGAGAUCAAGAUGAGACCAAAGAAUCUGGCAAACAUCACAGACUCCAAGAAUUACCUGAUAAUCCAGAUCACUGAGGUACAGCAUGCAAUUGACCAGCUUAAGAGAAAACUGAAUACUGACAAAAUGAAACUCAUAGUAGAAGUUAAGGUGAGAAAACAAGCAGUUUCAGAUUUACGAACAUUGAAAACUGAACUGGCACAGAAAAAAAAAUAAUACAUCUCUACAAUCUCAAUUAGUUGCUGGAAGUGUGCCUAGCUAGGAGCUCUACAGAAGAUUUUGUUUAUGAUGAAUCGGCCAAAUCAAAAGGGAGCAUUGGCUGCUGCAAUACAUUCUGACCAGAUCUGACUUUGUUCAUCAUAAGACAUCACAAAGAGGAAGUCACAAGCAUCUGCGAUUCCAGUAUAAUUAUAGCAUCUUCUGUCUAUGUUCUUUGGAGACCAAGCUACGUCAAAGGUUACCUGUGGAAAAAAAUCUUACUAUUUUAUGUAACAUGAUCAAGUAUGCAUAUUAUGUCAGAUUUUUAAAAUUAUAUAUAUUUUUUACCUUAUACUACACAAGGAAAAGGAACUGCUUACAGUAUAUGAAUGUAGGGUUUGACACACAUAGAACUUGAACCAUUCUAAGAAAUAUUUUUUGCUUACACUUGACUGAGUCAGACAUAUAUUUGGACAUACAAUGACCAGGAGCAAGACACUAUAUAGAAGAUGGCCUUCAAACUCAAAAUGUCUUCAAACGCUAGGCUGGCACCUCAGCUGAUUAAAAGAAGCAGGUAUAAUGACAACAGGGUAUGGUGAUGCCCCUGAGCAACUAGAGCGUAAAGGCACACUAAAAGAAUUCAAAUACAAAAGUUUUUAAAAUAUUGUGCAGGUUAAAUAUGUCACCUGUUGGCACAACCUGACUGGGUUGCGAGUUUCAGCCCCUGAUUCACAAUCACCUUAUAUGGUAGAUUUGGCCCAAUAUUACAGUUAGACAAUAGUGGUGUCUUAUGGUCCACGGGUAUAGAUUAAUCAAGUCAAAAUGUUGAAUAAAUCAUUUAAAUGAUCUUAUUUUAUGGAAAUAUUCAAAUAAAUGUUGAGUAUUAUUUUUCUUUUUUGGGGGGGAUGGAGUCUCACUCUGUCACCCAAGGUGGAGUGCAGUGGCGCAAUCUCAGCUCACUGCAACCUCUGCCUCCUGGGUUCAAGUGAUUCUCCUGCCUCAGCCUCCCACAUAGCUGGGAUUACAGGCAUGCGCCACCACGCCCAGCUAAUUUUUUUGUAUUUUUAGUAGAGACAGGGUUCGCCAUGUUGCCCAGGCUGGUCUUGAACUCCUGACCUCAGCUGAUCUGCCGGCCUCAGCCUCCCAAAGUGCUUACAGGCGUGAGCCACCACACCCAGCCUUAUCUUUCAUUUUGAAUAGUGAGCCAGCCUUCAACAAGAGUGUGUCUCUUUGUGUUUAUUGCCUUAACCAAAUAUUAAUUAGCCUUAUUUUAUAUGUGUACAAAUGUUCUAAAACUUCAUUAAAGGUUGUUUUCCCCCCUUAAUUAGGCACUCAAUAAACGCUGUUUAUUUUAAAAACUGAGAUACUUUAGGUAACAUUUUUAUACUUUGAACAAUUUAUUCUAGCAAAACUCUUUUUAGGACUUCUUCAAAGUUCUCUUUAUAAUUCCCUGAGUAUUAGCACUUUACAGUUACAAGCUUUGCUCAGUAGUUUUCCAACAAAAUAAGUUAUGAAGUAAAAUUAUUACAUAUUUGUUCCUAUUUUGUCACUGCCUCCUAUUAUAAAAUGAGAGGUAUAUUAUAGUAAUAGAGAAAAAUAAAUGACUACAUCUACGCAAGUAAAUUUCAAAUCCAUUUUGUAAGAGUAUUUUCACCAAGAUUUUCUCUCACAGUUAAUCUCAUAUUUUUGAGAUGGUACUAUUAUUAUAUUAGACAAGAAAGCAAAAGAUUUGGGUGCUAGUGUCAGCUGUCUUAUAAUUAGGUCUGUAUCACUGCUGUCAAUUAAAGCAUCUGAAUUUUUCUCACCUAUAAAAAUGAGAGUGUAGAAAGAACUCUUCAAGGCAUUUAUUUGUAGCUCUUUAAUUCUGUGACCACAAUUCUGUAAACUAAAGUUAUUAUCUUAUCCCCAAAACUCAUUCCCCCCUCUAGAUUAUCUAGUCAUUUUUUGUUGGUUACCAGUUUAAAAACUUUGGGGCCAUUUUCUGAUUCUUUCUUCCCUUACUUCCAAAAUGUAACCUCAUGUCUCCCUUUGGGUGGCAUCUCACAGUUGUUCUGCUCCUUCCUUUCCAUUAAUUAAUUCAUUUAAUAUGUAUUUAUUGUACACCUGCUGAUUUAGGAUUAUGUCAUCAUCCAAAUCCAAACUAAAUCCCUUGAUACUGUAUUGUUCAGUUAGUAGUCCUUACUGAUCUUCCUUUCUCUUCUAGUUUUAGAUACUCCUACAGAAUAGUUUCCCCAAACACUAUUUUACACACAUAACCCAUUACACACAGAAUAAAAUGCACAGUCCUCAGCCUGACAUUCUGGAUCUUCCACAAUCUGGCCUACCUUUGCAACUGUCCCUCCCACUAAUUCAACCUAACAUGAACUUGACAUGUAGCCCAAAUUGUUCUCCUCACCUCUCAAGAGAUAGAGAUAUUCCUACUGCAAGGAUUUUGCUCAAUGUCUUCCUCUCUGCUCUUUCACUGCAGCUUAAUCAGGAUUGUCAAAUAGGUUGUUUCCCAUAUAUUCCACACAUCAAUUCUAACCUAUUAGUAAUGACCAUAGAGGAUGAAGGAAAAGUUUCUGAGGCCAAAAUGUGUGAGGAGAAGAAGGGGUAUUGUGGCCUGUAUGCCAGGUAUUUGCUAUUCUUAAUCUACAUUGUACUCUCCUGACAAGUUGAAUUCCAUACUGACAGAUCUUCCCUAUUUGCAUAAAACCACAGAAAUGUCAGUCUUCAUAUUGCUUAUUAUUUUACCAAUAAUUCUCAAAUUAUUUUACCUGUAAUUUUCAAAUUCAUGACGACCAACUCUACCAGAAUCACCUAGAACACUUGGCAAAAAUACAGUUCUCUAAGCUCUAUCCCAGACCUACUGAGUCAGUCUCAGUGAUAUGAUUUGGAUCUGUGUCCCCGCCCAAAUCUCAUGUUGAAUAGUAAUCCCCAAUGUUGAAGGCAGGGCCUGGUAGGAGGUAACUGGAUUACAGGGGCAGAUUUCCCCCUCCAGUGCUGUUCUCGUGAUAGAGUCCUCACGAGAUCUGAUUGUUUCAAAGUGUGUGGCACCUCCCCACUCUCUCUCUCUCUCCUUCUCCGGCUGUUUGAAGUGCUGAUCCCGCUUUGCCUUCCACCAUGACUGUAAGUUUUCCUGAGGCCUCCCAGAAGCCAAGCAGAUGUCAGCAUUAUGCUUCCUGUAUAGCCUGCAGAACUGUGAGCCAAUUAAACCUAUUGUCUCUAUAAAUUA